RNAcentral lists this unclassified non-coding RNA (176 nucleotides) under uncultured fungus. RNAcentral's name for it is "sequence contains ITS1". Lineage: Eukaryota; Fungi. The record is from RNAcentral.
CUGGAACGCGCUUCGGCGCACCCAGAAACCCUUUGUGAACUUAUACCUACUGUUGCCUCGGCGCAGGCCGGCCUUUUGUGACAAAGGCCCCCUGGAGACAGGGAGCAGCCCGCCGGCGGCCAACUAAACUCUUGUUUCUUUAGUGAAUCUCUGAAGUAAAAACAUAAAUGAAUACA